RNAcentral lists this transfer RNA (73 nucleotides) under Fodinibius sp. RNAcentral describes it as "tRNA-Met". It matches the Rfam family "tRNA". Rfam says of the family: Transfer RNA (tRNA) molecules are approximately 80 nucleotides in length. Their secondary structure includes four short double-helical elements and three loops (D, anti-codon, and T loops). Further hydrogen bonds mediate the characteristic L-shaped molecular structure. tRNAs have two regions of fundamental functional importance: the anti-codon, which is responsible for specific mRNA codon recognition, and the 3' end, to which the tRNAs corresponding amino acid is attached (by aminoacyl-tRNA synthetases). tRNAs cope with the degeneracy of the genetic code in two manners: having more than one tRNA (with a specific anti-codon) for a particular amino acid; and 'wobble' base-pairing, i.e. permitting non-standard base-pairing at the 3rd anti-codon position. The record is from RNAcentral. Lineage: Bacteria; Pseudomonadati; Balneolota; Balneolia; Balneolales; Balneolaceae. RNAcentral also lists the same sequence under 4 other names.
GGCGAGGUAGCUCAAUCGGCAGAGCAGUGGACUCAUAAGCCAUUGGUUGACGGUUCAAGUCCGUCCCUCGCCA